Molecule: transfer RNA, 74 nt
Filed under: Caudoviricetes sp.
Lineage: Duplodnaviria; Heunggongvirae; Uroviricota; Caudoviricetes
Description: tRNA-Leu
Rfam family: tRNA
About the family: Transfer RNA (tRNA) molecules are approximately 80 nucleotides in length. Their secondary structure includes four short double-helical elements and three loops (D, anti-codon, and T loops).
Source: RNAcentral
ACUUCUGUAGUCCAAUUGGCAGAGACAUUCGAUUUAAGCUCGAAGCAGUUUGGGUUCAACUCCCAACAGAAGUA